This 733-nucleotide ribosomal RNA is filed under the name uncultured Thermoplasmatales archaeon. RNAcentral describes it as "bacterial SSU rRNA". It matches the Rfam family "Archaeal small subunit ribosomal RNA", at positions 190 to 923 of the family's 1478-position model. The record is from RNAcentral. Lineage: Archaea; Methanobacteriati; Thermoplasmatota; Thermoplasmata; Thermoplasmatales.
AAAGCGCAAGCGCCAGAGGGUGAGUCUGCGGCCUAUCAGGUAGUAGGUGGUGUAACGGACCACCUAGCCUAAGACGGGUACGGGCCUUGAGAGAGGGAGCCCGGAGAUGGGUUCUGAGACACGAACCCAGGCCCUACGGGGCGCAGCAGGCGCGAAACCUUCGCACUGCGCGAAAGCGCGACGAGGGGAGCCCGAGUGCCUCUCCAUUUCGGGGAGGCUUUUCACAAGCCUAAAAAGCUUGUGGAAUAAGGGCUGGGCAAGACGAGUGCCAGCCGCCGCGGUAAUACCCGCAGCUCGAGUGGUGGUCGCUUUUAUUGAGCCUAAAACGUUCGUAGUCGGCCUUGUAAAUCCCUGGGUAAAUCGGACCGCUUAACGGUUCGAAUUCCGGGGAGACUGCAAGGCUAGGGACCGGGCGAGGUCAGAGGUACUUUCGGGGUAGGAGUGAAAUCCUGUAAUCCCGAAGGGACCACCUGUGGCGAAAGCGUCUGACUUGAACGGCUCCGACGAUGAGGAACGAAGGCUAGGGGAGCAAACCGGAUUAGAUACCCGGGUAGUCCUAGCUGUAAACUCUGAACGCUUGGUGUGGCCUGUCCUUCGGGGGCAGGCUGUGCCGGAGCGAAGGUGUUAAGCGGGCUGCUUGGGGAAUACGGCCGCAAGGUUGAAACUUAAAGGAAUUGGCGGGGGAACACCGCAACGGGAGGAUGCGUGCGGUUUAAUUGGAUCAACGCCGGAA